AGGCCUGUAGCUCGAAUUGGUAGAGCGCCGGUCUCCAAAACCGGAAGUUGGGGGUUCGAGUCCCUCCAGGCCUGCUA
Molecule: transfer RNA, 77 nt
Filed under: Calditrichota bacterium
Lineage: Bacteria; Pseudomonadati; Calditrichota
Description: Calditrichaeota bacterium tRNA-Trp
Rfam family: tRNA
About the family: Transfer RNA (tRNA) molecules are approximately 80 nucleotides in length. Their secondary structure includes four short double-helical elements and three loops (D, anti-codon, and T loops).
Source: RNAcentral